Molecule: long non-coding RNA, 162 nt
Organism: Gorilla gorilla gorilla (western lowland gorilla)
Lineage: Eukaryota; Metazoa; Chordata; Mammalia; Primates; Hominidae
Exons: 3
Source: RefSeq, a predicted model, not a curated record
UGAAGAGGAGAUCAGUUGCCUCUGCAGAAGGUGUCUGAGAAGGUGAUGUUGAAGGUGCCACGGGGUUAGACAAAAGGAGCAGAUCUUCAGUGUGUGUCCUCAGCCAGAUGCUGGAACAACUGGAAGGAUCGCAGAGUUGCACAGAGUGAGUGGGAAGAGAAG